Long non-coding RNA from Alexandromys fortis (reed vole), 1587 nucleotides. RefSeq lists it as uncharacterized. NCBI's taxonomy places the organism in Eukaryota, Metazoa, Chordata, Mammalia, Rodentia, Cricetidae. The transcript has 2 exons. The record is from RefSeq and is a predicted model, not a curated record.
GGACGAAGGUCUUUCUAACUUGAGCGACGGCCCUUAGGGGAAGCUGAGCGUUUCCAUGUAGAAACUUAGACAGUUAGAGGAAACGUUUACAAAGUGACGGACAGACCAAACAGUUCCUUCUAGUACUUUUUCCGCCUCGGGAUCCCUGGUAUCGGAACGCCCGGACCCGUAGCCACAGUUUCCGCGGAGCGGGGCGGAAGUGAACGCUCCAACGCUUCGCACCAGCUUCCCGGAAGUCUUUGGCACCUAGAAAGACGCAGGCGUGCGUGCGUCCUGGGAAACGCGUGGGCGUGUUCAAAGCGAGCCGCGGUCAUUGCUGCCACAGAACUGAGGCGAGCUUGGUUUAGCGAGGCUGUGCCAGUUCCGGGCUCCUGCCCAGCGCGUCUCCGCCUCCUGGCCUGCGACGUCAGCGGAGCUUGCCUCUGCGCUCUGCGCUUCCCUGCGGACCCCAAGUUCCCUCCAGUAGAGCUCCGUCCUGUUCGGUGACACUGGAAACAACGCUUGGGGCACCGCGGGCAGACAGUGCAAAAAGUUGAGACUUUGGAGGCAAGCGCGUUUUUGUGAACGCUUCAUUUUCCCCUACCACCUGUGCUUGCUUCGAGUAUUAUUUUUAACGAGAUGUACAUUCCUGAAAUAAUUGGAAAAUAUCUUUGAGUUAAGUGUAUUCCUGUGGAAAGCUAGUAAACUCGUACCUUCUAAAAGGCGGAUACUCAUCAAUCCCCAGUAAGCUCUUAAUAGGCUCAUUGUGACAGACUACCAACAAAUUACGAGCAUCGUAAACUCCUUUGACUCUUGUAGUUUCCAGAUGUCUUUGAAGGAUGUAGAACGCCAGCCAAGUGGACAGCACUUGAGUUUAGAGUUGGAAUUUGGGGUUUUGUGGGAAGACGCCAAACUGAUAUUAACACGCAUGAGGAGGCAUCAUGCCUCCUGUCUUAAUUUAGCUUUUUGUUGUUUUGAAGCAGUUCUGGUGCAUUUAUGAAAACGGGGCAAACGCAAAGUAAAGAAAACCCUCCCUCCAUUACCCACAUUGAACAAACAAGAAUAUGUCGGUUUAUUUUUAGUCUUAUGUGAAAUAUUUAAUUUUCUCACACUUGUGUUCACUAUGACAUAGUUUGCUCUCUGAUGUGAUAGCUCUCAAUGUUUAUGUCAUUCUGCUUUGGCAAACAUCUAGCUGCAUUGUUUUUCUUGUUAUUAGGUGUCUAGAUUGUAGCAGUUUUUGCUCUAUUAUAACUAUAAAGAAAAACAGAACAGUGUUUAGAAAAAACAAGGGGGCUGGCAGGUGGGGUGGCUCAGUGGGAAAAGAUGCCUGCCAAGAGGCCUGAGGCUAGGUUCAAUAUUCAAACCCCCUCUUAAAUUGUCUAAUGAUCUCUAUUCAUGCACACACAAAUAAGAUGUAAUAAAACUAUUUUUAAAAGAACCUAGGAUUUAUGUCAAUAAAGGCUUCUUCAUUUAUGGUGUAGCUAAGGAUAACUCACUUUUAUAUUUUUCUAGUUUUACCAAUCAGUAAUUUGGGGAUAGUAAUUCUCAUUGUAUAAAAAUGAAAUAAUGACCAAAAUGUCUAUAUUAAUAAAUAGUAGUUACUAAGUA